UACGUAGGGGCAAGCGUUAUCCGGAUUUACUGGGUGUAAAGGGAGCGCAGACGGCAGCGCAAGUCUGAUGUGAAAUCCCGGGGCUCAACCCCGGAACUGCAUUGGAAACUGCGCAGCUCGAGUAUCGGAGAGGUAAGCGGAAUUCCUAGUGUAGCGGUGAAAUGCGUAGAUAUUAGGAGGAACACCGGAGGCGAAGGCGGCUUACUGGACGAAGACUGACGUUGAGGCUCGAAAGCGUGGGGAGCAAACAGGAUUAGAUACCCUGGUAGU
This 270-nucleotide ribosomal RNA is filed under the name uncultured prokaryote. Its description in RNAcentral is "partial 16S ribosomal RNA". It matches the Rfam family "Bacterial small subunit ribosomal RNA", at positions 524 to 794 of the family's 1533-position model. The record is from RNAcentral.